Long non-coding RNA from Rattus rattus (black rat), 1105 nucleotides. RefSeq lists it as uncharacterized. NCBI's taxonomy places the organism in Eukaryota, Metazoa, Chordata, Mammalia, Rodentia, Muridae. The record is from RefSeq and is a predicted model, not a curated record. The transcript has 2 exons.
GCUGCACUCAGUCUUGGCACCAGGGAACUGAACUGGGGCAAAGGGGUGGGGAAGAGGGUGGAGAUGCCCCUGGAGGUCUGAAGAGGGUGGGUCUCAGGGAAGGAGUCUGCAGUGGACAGGAGGAGACAGGUCGGCAGUGGAAGGGUCUGUGCAAAACUGUCCUGUUGUCUUAGAACCCCCUACUCACUGUCUGGUUGGCUGAUGGGAGAGUGCCGUGGUGGGCUUGGGGACACAGUUAGGACUAGGGCUCUGUCGUAAGCUCCUCAGGGGUUUGACAAGCUUGCUGUCCUUCCCACUUCCCCUGUUCUCACACUUCUUGGCAACACAGGCACUGUCUCUUAGCGACAGGGUUUUGGGGGAGCCAUGGCCCCCACCAUGCUGCCUGUGGGAUGCAUGCACAGCACCCUCCCCCAGCAGAGUCACCAAGCCUCAGGCAGCAGCAGACAGGGGUACGCCGGCCCGAGUUCAUGGCUGGACAGCCCAUCUCUCUGUGCCUGUCCAGACCUCAGGGUGAAGCUAUCUGAUCCAUGCCAUGCUUCCUGAACGCCCGAGAAUGGACCAGCUGGCCGGGCUGCCUACAGAGAGCACAGCUGCUGUUGGCAUCGCCUCGGGUCCAGUACACCCACAUUGCUACACGCGUGCAGGACUUUGACAGUGAUCGUUUCUGCCUAGGUGUAUUCGAGCAAAGAGGAACUGAAGGAGGAGAAGGAACAAGGAGGCUCCGGGUCAGGAGCACCAGCAGCACUGAGCUAGGUGGACUGGGUGCUACGUAGGCCUCGGGUUGGCCGUUUCACAAUACACUAACUGUCCCUCGCUUUAGUCAGUGGUGGUGCCUACAUCCAGACGAAAUGAAGGGGGCUAACGAAGGUCAGGCAGAAGGGGGCAUAUUCAUACUCCUGAUUACAUCCUCGUCCGCGUCUCUGAGGAGGCUGUGUUCUGCUUUCGGGAGGUGAUUCCCGGUAUACGUGUAAUACCCCGGAGUAUAUACCUAGCUAUUGGCCACCGUGACCUCCUGUACUCCAUUUCGGCCCCCAGAUUUCUAGGGCAAAGACCAGUCAGACCCUAAAUAGCAUGGCUGCAAUAGUUAAAGAUUUAUCCCUUGUAA